GGGGUAAACCUGCGAAACUCGAAUGAACGAACGGAGAGAUUCAUCGUCAUUCCGCGGCGUACGGAUGCGUUUCGAGAUGCCAGAGGCUUCGGUCGGCGGGCACCGAGCGUAUACGUCGACGUCCGCGGACGGCGUGCACUUCUCUCUCAGUAACAUGCAUCGCGACCCGUUCGCGGUCGGUCUAAGCGCCGUUCGGGAGCCCCGUUGUACCCUUCGCGGGGUGCGACGGGACCGUGACGGCGGCCGACCGGCCCGCGGACGGUAUAAUAUAUGAAACGCGCACGCGUUUAACGCGUCCGGCCCGACGCAAGUCAACGUCGUAUCCGACGUUCCGCCCGAGCGCGGACGUUGGUGCGGCGCGUCUGUUGUCGCCGCCGUGCAGUCUCGGACCGUGCGCGUCUCCGUCUGCGAUGAUUCAGUUUCGGGCACUCGCAGGACCCGUCUUGAAACACGGACCAAGGAGUCUAGCAUGUAUGCGAGUCAUUGAGAUUACUUUAAACUGAAAGGCGUAACGAAAGUGAAGGCGCGCGCUCGUCGCGUGCUCAGGGAGGAUGGAGCGUCGAUCUAGGUCGAUCUCUCGCACUCCCGAGGCGUCUCGUUUCCAAUCCGUGAAUGCAGGCGCGCUC
RNAcentral lists this ribosomal RNA (626 nucleotides) under Uropyia meticulodina. RNAcentral's name for it is "eukaryotic LSU rRNA". RNAcentral also lists the same sequence under 1 other name. Lineage: Eukaryota; Metazoa; Arthropoda; Insecta; Lepidoptera; Notodontidae. The record is from RNAcentral.